This 143-nucleotide small nucleolar RNA is filed under the name Myotis brandtii (Brandt's bat). Its description in RNAcentral is "Small nucleolar RNA SNORA57". It matches the Rfam family "Small nucleolar RNA SNORA57". From Rfam's summary of the family: U99 belongs to the H/ACA class of snoRNAs which are thought to guide the sites of modification of uridines to pseudouridines, the target for this family is unknown. Lineage: Eukaryota; Metazoa; Chordata; Mammalia; Chiroptera; Vespertilionidae. The record is from Rfam by way of RNAcentral.
CCUCCUCUUCUUGGCGAGGUCCAGGCGUGUGGUCCCAGUUCCCGUAAUGAACGGAGGCAGAGAUCCCCGGCCCCCAUGGCGUUAUUCUUUCCAUGCCGGCGGUUUCCAGUCCAUUGGUUCUAUCCCCAAGCGCCGAGACUCAG